UACAGAGGUCCCAAGCGUUGUUCGGAUUCAUUGGGCGUAAAGGGUGCGUAGGCGGCGCGGUAAGUCGGGUGUGAAAUCUCGGGGCUUAACUCCGAAACUGCAUUCGAUACUGCCGUGCUUGAGGACUGGAGAGGAGACUGGAAUUUACGGUGUAGCGGUGAAAUGCGUAGAUAUCGUGAAGAAGACCAGUGGCGAAGGCGGGUCUCC
This 207-nucleotide ribosomal RNA is filed under the name uncultured bacterium. Its description in RNAcentral is "partial 16S ribosomal RNA". It matches the Rfam family "Bacterial small subunit ribosomal RNA", at positions 524 to 730 of the family's 1533-position model. The record is from RNAcentral.